CUCGGUCAUUCGGCUGACUGGACGCCUACCUAAAACACCACACACUCACGCCUGCAAUGGUUUUCCUUUAUUGUGAUUUAAGCACCACCUGGAGUUUGGGCCUCUGUUGUAUACUUGCUGUGACCGUGUCUGGGGAAUCUAACUGCGCCUGUGAACAGCGCCCGCAAAUAAACUCACGGCACCUG
Scylla paramamosain (green mud crab) is the source of this 185-nucleotide long non-coding RNA. RefSeq lists it as uncharacterized. The transcript is spliced from 2 exons. The record is from RefSeq and is a predicted model, not a curated record. NCBI's taxonomy places the organism in Eukaryota, Metazoa, Arthropoda, Malacostraca, Decapoda, Portunidae.